UGAACCUUAAUUGUCUGAAGGAUAUUGGUUGCAAUUUCUGGUGUCUAUUCUUAGUUGAUAAUUAAAUUAAUCCUAGAAUUGUUGCCUAUUCCUUUCAAACAAACUUGUGCAAUGAUAAUUCUUUUUGUCCUUUUGGGAUAUAAUGUGUCAGAUUGGCUGUUAUUUGGGUGAUCUUCCCAUUUAAUUGAAAGUGUUGUGAGCUUGAACUUAA
RNAcentral lists this unclassified non-coding RNA (211 nucleotides) under Hevea brasiliensis (rubber tree). The record is from RNAcentral. Lineage: Eukaryota; Viridiplantae; Streptophyta; Magnoliopsida; Malpighiales; Euphorbiaceae.